RNAcentral lists this ribosomal RNA (497 nucleotides) under uncultured bacterium. Its description in RNAcentral is "partial 16S ribosomal RNA". It matches the Rfam family "Bacterial small subunit ribosomal RNA", at positions 28 to 507 of the family's 1533-position model. The record is from RNAcentral.
GAUGAACGCUGGCGGCGUGCCUAAUACAUGCAAGUCGAGCGAACGGACGAGAAGCUUGCUUCUCUGAUGUUAGCGGCGGACGGGGGAGUAACACGUGGAUAACCUACCUAUAAGACUGGGAUAACUUCGGGAAACCGGAGCUAAUACCGGAUGAUAUUUUGAACCGCAUGGUUCAAAAGUGAAAGACGGUCUUGCUGUCACUUAUAGAUGGAUCCGCGCUGCAUUAGCUAGUUGGUAAGGUAACGGCUUACCAAGGCAACGAUGCAUAGCCGACCUGAGAGGGUGAUCGGCCACACUGGAACUGAGACACGGUCCAGACUCCUACGGGAGGCAGCAGUAGGGAAUCUUCCGCAAAGGGCGAAAGCCUGACGGAGCAACGCCGCGUGAGUGAUGAAGGUCUUCGGAUCGUAAAACUCUGUUAUUAGGGAAGAACAUAUGUGUAAGUAACUGUGCACAUCUUGACGGUACCUAAUCAGAAAGCCACGGCUAACUACGUG